RNAcentral lists this long non-coding RNA (2107 nucleotides) under Trifolium pratense (red clover). RNAcentral's name for it is "long non-coding RNA (TPRA_LNC003472)". The record is from RNAcentral. Lineage: Eukaryota; Viridiplantae; Streptophyta; Magnoliopsida; Fabales; Fabaceae.
GUUGAUCUCCUGUCACUCUGGCGGCAAUCCCAUCUGGUGUUGGGAAAGUUUGAUCUUCAAAAUUAGCUUUUGCCAGUAAAUUUCCUAGCAACAUGUCCCGUUAUUCUUGUUUUCACUUUUUUGUCUUUGCAACUCUACUUUCUAUGAAAUGCAAUCUGGCACAAAGUGGACGAGGUGCACGUUCUUGUUGAUCAAAUCCCCUAACACAAACAAAUCCUGAAAUGAAGCAUCAAAAUGUUAAUAGGCAUGGCAAGAUUGAACAUUAAUAUUUCCUAGAUGUAUAUGGGAACUACACUUAUUGUAAUGUGUGAUGGUACUCAUGAUGUUUUUAGGGAACUAUUGGCUGACUAGUCUGGUAUUGAAUCACCUCAGAAUGUUGCAUGUGUGUGCGCAUACACACACAUUUGGAUCAAUCUUUUGAUUGAUGAGGCUUAUUGUUUGCUUUUGGAAUCGUUAUGUUUGUGUAGGUGACGGUUUAAUGUGCUGUUGGAAAACAUGGCCCGGUAAAAAGGAGCUGAGGCUGAAAACAGAUAUGAAACACAGUUUUGACAACCAAAAAAAAUUCACCAAGGCUCAGUAUAUCCACCGGGUUAGUAGAUCAUCAUGUAUUUCCUUUGAGCAACCAAUUGAAAUGUUUUAUUCUUUGCUCUGUUAUUAAAAUUUUGAAGUGUGAUAAGAGAAGAAAUAAAACAAAUAAUUUAAAAUAGUCUGCAUACCUCUCCAAAAGCAAUGCUGAAUUUCUUGCGUUGAGAGACCUAGUAGACAUAAGAGUUUUUAGUGAGUACUUUUAACUUCUUGGAAAAACUGGUUUAGAAUAGAUAUUAGUAGAUGGAUAUGUGGAGUUUUUUUUCUUCCUACCUUUGAAAAUUGACGAUACAGAGGUUCCGAAAUAUACCGUCCUCCUUGGCAAAUUCCAUAUCCAUUCCCUAGGGAUAUCUAUGGGUUUAACGCUGGAUGCGUGGUCCGCAAAUAACUUCAUGAUAAAAAAAGGUUUUAUAGACCCUUGAUGGUGAAUAUUGAAAUUUAAAAUAAGGGGUAUCUGUUAAGGCAAUUGAACAGUAACAAAACCUAGAUUACACUUACCUCAUUAACUUGGAAGUAUGUCCCAUUGAGUGGAAAGCUUCCCCUCAUUGCUGUUCGACACGGUAUCUGUAUAUGGAAUAACAUUUGUGAUAGUUAUUGAAAUUAAUAUAAGGCUAGAAAAUGGAGUGUCUUUCAUGAUCUUGUCUGUAUCCAUGAAUUAAUCAUUACCAGAAGUGUUCCUCUCACAAUUUGUGAAUUAGCUUCUUUAAUGCUGUUGCAUGAAAGGCAUGUCUUGUCAUUGCACAAGUUGGUCGAGUCUUGCGAUCCACACUUCCUUUGUGGUGGUUCAAUGGAAUUUGCAGUCUCACCUAGUAUUCAAAUAUCAUAAAUACGGGUGUCAACAUAUUAUCUGACUUUGACCUAGCAUAUAUGUAAUAUGAUCUUGCCUAUGCUUCAUUUUUGCUUUUUAAUCUGUCUCUUUUAGAUGUACUUGUGCAUUGAUUUUAGUAUACUGGUAGCUAUUGGGCGACUAUUGUUUGCAUAUGUUAAUUAUUAAUUGAGAUUAUUACAGGUAUCAUCUGCUAACCUGGUGACCAUAUUGCAAGAAGAUAUGGACUUGGGUCAUCAGGUUCCCGCUUAUCCAUCUGUAAAUUUUCGUAAACAAACAAAUAUAAAAAAUAUACCAAGCUGAUAACUGCGUGUUUCAGUACAAAGAAAAGAAUAACUAACCUUUUCCAACAGAGGGUGUGAAUCUGGAAGUUCAUAUCUGCAUCAAUCAGUGUUAUAAAGCAGAAUUUAGAUUUCCAUUAAAAAAAUAGAUCAGUCAUAUAGUCUAGAGAGUCAAGGAAUUUAUAACAAGUUUACUUAUGGCAAUGACUACUGUGAUGUUUUUUAAGAACGUCUUCUAGAAAUUAGAGAUGCUGCAUACAAUGCAUGUACUUACACUUGGUGUUCUGUUCUUAGCCGGCUCACAUUCUUCAGUUUUGCUGUAGGGAUAGAAGCAGACUCUGGAUUCCAGGCAACAAGGGCCUUAGACUGGUCACCCUCAUGUUCUUGCAUCUGGUUCUGUACAUUUUUUGCCAAC